AGUGCACCGUCCUCGGGUUCGGGUCUUACGAAAAACCGAGACCGGGGAUUACUCUUGUUCGUGUUUCGCCAUUUCCUCUCCGACGUCAAUCCCAGCACCGAGCGGUAUCUCGCCCUCGAGACCGAGGGCACUGCUCCUUUCGGCUCCCUAGGGAAUCCUGGAUGUUAAACAUCCUAAGAAGUCGAUCCCAUUGCUUCGAACAAAGGAGGGAACUGACGGAAGAUUCGGUUUUUCGACCAUUACCCAUCCCGCCCUUUGGGUGUACCUAAUUAACCGUUAAUUUACGCCCCUGCACAUUAUCUACUUCUACACUUCUUUGACCGUAUUAUCAAUGUUAACGAUGAAUGUAGUCGUAAGUCGCCGUUUUCCAAAUCUGAAAUUUUAAUUCCAGCUCGCGAUUGGUUGGGGAUAGAAUUAUCAUUUUACUGCCGAAGAAUAUGACUGAUCCCUGCGGUCGGUGAGUCCCAUUAAAGCAGUCCCAUUUCCAUUCACCUGGACGUGGGCAAAAUAGUUUCCCAUCUAGAUGUUUCAAUCUGCGGUUUAGCUGAAACUGGUACGGACCAACAAUGUGCCAACAUUGUGAAAUUCAAGUGAACGGACAUAACCGUGCUUUAAUUCUGAAUCUGUAUAUAUAUUUCCUGACGAUUGCUGUCCGCUUAAUCUGGAAUACAUAAGUCCGCGAGGGUAAUUAUUUCCUUCUGUUAUCGAAAUAAGGAAUAUUCAACCUCAUUGGAAAACCUGUUCAAUGGGAACGUUAACAAGAUUAAUAAAUAAUUUGGAGGAUCGAGGGCAUCCGUAUUAUUCGUCGAGCGACUCUUCUUCUUUCCAGGAGGAAAUAUGAAAAUGAAAAUUCACACGACCAAGCCUCGACGAAAUUUACGUCACAUGGAGCUUUACAAGCAACGGAAUAAGAUAACAAAAUCCACGUGUCGUAAUUGAACAUUCCUUUAAAUAGUCUCGUAUUAUCCAGAGUACGUUCUCCGUUACCUUGACCUUGCGUUAUCUGCAGAGGUCCGAUCUAACGGAAUCACGGUUACAUAAUUAUGACAGUCUGAAUUACGAUGCAGUUAGUCCCGUUUCAUGAUUCCUUUCCAUGUAAACAAAAAAAAAGAGUUGUGCAUAAUCAUCGCUCUUAAUGCAAACACCACUUGCUGACUCUUCGCUUUUUGUAUUUAAUUUCCUUCGUCCAACAGCGAGUAUUAAAUUCUCCUGCUUAAAGCACUCCACUGGGCGAAACGUAAACUCGCUGGAUUGGUUAUUAAAUAAAAAAAGAUUCUAUAAUAAGAGGUCCUUCGUUCUCUGGUUAUUUAUGCUAGAACAAAAUGAGCGAUGACAACCUGUUCGUGAAAUCCUCCCUCUUCGUCUCUCUAUAAAUCUCCAUAUCAUACGUUUCUCGGCCACCGUUUUAUCCUAUUUUUUCUGCUUCUCUCUCCCUUUUUACAGAUACGUAAAAUCGUGCUCUUCGAAGUCUUAGGCCGGCUGCAAUUUGCCAGACAAAAAGAGCAAGAAGAAAGGCCACCGGUAGCACCGGUCCUAAUCAGUGGCUCCUCGGAAGAUGCCUUCGGUAUUCAGGCAUCUCGCACCAACGUCGCCCGAGGUUAUAGCAUUAUCGAUUCUGGAGAAAUCCUUCGCAACAUCGACGUCCCAUCCACGAUGUUGGUUAGACCGAACCCUUUGCACCACUUUGUUUCCCGAAGCUCAAGAGAAAGAGUGGCUGGCUACAACGGAAAGCUCCUUUGAGCUAAUUAUGUGCCGUGGGAGAGCACUGGACCUCUCUAAGGGUCCAAGAUAAUAGAUGUCUCGAAGGGAGCUAUUUUGGACCACUUUGGAAUUAUCUUUUAACAACACAAUCUUAUCACGUUGCAGGAGAUCGGCAAAAACUGAGCAGACACCAGGACCGUAUUAUCAUAGGAAGUUGAAUUACAGAUCAAAGGAUUUUAAUCUCCACCAUGCCCUGAAUGUAUAUUAACAAACUCCCAAGAAAAAUAACAUAGUCCCAGGACGCCUUCCGUUCGGCUCUAGACUAUGUGGCCAAAGACGUAUUUCGGUGACUGGAAUUACGUUUUUGCACCCUUCCUAAUGGUAUGAGACUAUUAUCUAAUUAAUGAAACCCAUGGAAUAAAAUAAGGAACUCCAAUUUAAUGAACGGUAUCAGCAAUCGCGAUGGCUUUUCCUAAGAAUCCGUAUCCAGGAAGCACCGAGACAUUCACUUAUCCGAUCCAAAGUGUCCUUAGAGACAGCCUCGUGCAGGUUGUCUCGUUUAAAUCGACACAUAGCGCCUGUCCUAAGUAAUAUUCUAGAUCCGGAAGAAGCAUAAAAGAGCGUACUCAAGCAUGAAGCUGCACGACGAGGUACUGGCUGUGCAAGGAAGACGGGCGAAGGAACGAGUUAACCUGCCGAAAAGACCCGCCGUCAAGGCAAGGAUCUCUUCCAAGACGUCCAUACCCGGAAAGCAACCUCCAGGAUUAAAUAUUUCCAACCACAUCACCACCUCGAGCCCGGUACUCGGGCGAUCUCGAAGGACCCGUUCCCAGCGCUGUCCAGGAGUUAACCCGUCCUUGCAGGAGGCGCUGGCAGGCCG
RNAcentral lists this long non-coding RNA (2581 nucleotides) under Orussus abietinus. Its description in RNAcentral is "uncharacterized LOC105701399, transcript variant X1". Lineage: Eukaryota; Metazoa; Arthropoda; Insecta; Hymenoptera; Orussidae. The record is from RNAcentral.